RNAcentral lists this ribosomal RNA (465 nucleotides) under uncultured bacterium. RNAcentral's name for it is "partial 16S ribosomal RNA". It matches the Rfam family "Bacterial small subunit ribosomal RNA", at positions 28 to 507 of the family's 1533-position model. The record is from RNAcentral.
GACGAACGCUGGCGGCGUGCUUAACACAUGCAAGUCGAACGGAAAGGCCCCUUUGGGGGUACUCGAGUGGCGAACGGGUGAGUAACACGUGAGUAACCUGCCCUUGACUUCGGGAUAACUUCAGGAAACUGGGGCUAAUACCGGAUAGGAAUCCUUGCUGCAUGGUGGGGGUUGGAAAGCUUCGGGGGUUUUGGAUGGACUCGCGGCGUAUCAGCUUGUUGGGGGGGUAGUGGCUUACCAAGGCUUCGUCGGGUAGCCCGCCUGAGAGGGCGACCGGCCACAUUGGGACCGAGAUAAGGCCCAGACUCCUACGGGAGGCAGCAGUGGGGAAUAUUGCACGAUGGGCGGAAGCCUGAUGCAGCAACGCCGCGGGCGGGAUGACGGCCUUCGGGUUGUAAACCGCUUUCAGCAGGGGCGAAGCUUGUGGUGACGGUACCUGCAGAAGAAGCACCGGCUAACUACGUG